GAUGAACGCUAGCUACAGGCUUAACACAUGCAAGUCGAGGGGAAACGACAUCGAAAGCUUGCUUUUGAUGGGCGUCGACCGGCGCACGGGUGAGUAACGCGUAUCCAACCUGCCCAUCACUUGGGAAUAACCUUGCGAAAGUAAGACUAAUACCCAAUGACAUCCCACGAAGACAUCUGAAUGGGAUUAAAGAUUUAUCGGUGAUGGAUGGGGAUGCGUCUGAUUAGCUUGUUGGCGGGGUAACGGCCCACCAAGGCAACGAUCAGUAGGGGUUCUGAGAGGAAGGUCCCCCACAUUGGAACUGAGACACGGUCCAAACGCCUACGGGAGGCAGCAGUGAGGAAUAUUGGUCAAUGGGCGAGAGCCUGAACCAGCCAAGUAGCGUGCAGGAGGACGGCCCUAUGGGUUGUAAACUGCUUUUAUAAGGGAAUAAAGUGGGUCUCGUGAGACUUUUUGCAUGUACCUUAUGAAUAAGGACCGGCUAAUUCCGUG
RNAcentral lists this ribosomal RNA (492 nucleotides) under uncultured bacterium. RNAcentral's name for it is "partial 16S ribosomal RNA". It matches the Rfam family "Bacterial small subunit ribosomal RNA", at positions 28 to 507 of the family's 1533-position model. The record is from RNAcentral.